Molecule: non-coding RNA, 18 nt
Filed under: Rattus norvegicus (Norway rat)
Lineage: Eukaryota; Metazoa; Chordata; Mammalia; Rodentia; Muridae
Source: RNAcentral
UGCCUGAAUGUAACUGUU